This 23-nucleotide ribosomal RNA is filed under the name Beauveria bassiana. Its description in RNAcentral is "partial 28S ribosomal RNA". The record is from RNAcentral. Lineage: Eukaryota; Fungi; Ascomycota; Sordariomycetes; Hypocreales; Cordycipitaceae.
CCUCGAAUCAGGUAGGACUACCC